Glycine max (soybean) is the source of this 74-nucleotide non-coding RNA. The record is from Rfam. NCBI's taxonomy places the organism in Eukaryota, Viridiplantae, Streptophyta, Magnoliopsida, Fabales, Fabaceae.
GAUUCAUUUGCUUAGUUGAUUAGAGUGUUAUGUUAAUAAUUUAAAGGUCACAAGUUCGAGUCAUGUUUGGAUCA